RNAcentral lists this ribosomal RNA (1255 nucleotides) under metagenome. RNAcentral's name for it is "bacterial LSU rRNA". It matches the Rfam family "Bacterial large subunit ribosomal RNA", at positions 1695 to 2925 of the family's 2925-position model. The record is from RNAcentral.
AUAACUCUUGUUAAGGAACUCGGCAAAUUAGUCCCGUAACUUCGGGAAAAGGGACGCCUUUUUAGUGUGAAGUAGAACAUACGGAGCAUGAAGAGGUCGCAGAGAAAUGGGCCAAGCGACUGUUUAGCAAAAACACAGGGCUCUGCAAAAUCGUAAGAUAAAGUAUAGGGUCUGACACCUGCCCGGUGCUGGAAGGUUAAAAGGAGAGGUUAGCGUGAUUUAUCAUGCGAAGCUUUGAAUUGAAGCCCCAGUAAACGGCGGCCGUAACUAUGACGGUCCUAAGGUAGCGAAAUUCCUUGUCAGGUAAGUUCUGACCUGCACGAAUGUGUAACGACUUGGUCACUGUCUCAACAAGAGGCUCGGUGAAAUUGUAAUGUUAGUGAAGAUGCUGACUACCUGUAGUUGGACGGAAAGACCCCGUGCACCUUUACUGUACCCUGACACUGUGAUUUGGCAACGUAUGUGUAGUAUAGGUGGGAGACUUUGAAGUUGGGACGCCAGUCUCGAUGGAGUCGUUGUUGAAAUACCACCCUUACUUUGUUGGAUUACUAACUGAUACCCGUUAUCCGGGAUCAGGACAAUGUCUGGCGGGCAGUUUGACUGGGGCGGUCGCCUCCUAAGGAGUAACGGAGGCGCCCAAAGGUUCCCUCAGCACGGACGGAAAUCGUGCGCAGAGUGUAAACGCAUAAGGGAGCUUGACUGCGAGACAAACAAGUCGAGCAGAAACGAAAGUUGGGGUUAGUGAUCCGGUGGUCUCGAGUGGAAGGGCCAUCGCUCAACGGAUAAAAGGUACGCCGGGGAUAACAGGCUGAUAGUGCCCAAGAGUUCAUAUCGACGGCACUGUUUGGCACCUCGAUGUCGACUCUCCGCAUCCUGGGGCUGGAGAAGGUCCCAAGGGUUUGGCUGUUCGCCAAUUAAAGCGGAACGCGAGUUGGGUUCAAAACGUCGUGAGACAGUUUGGUCCCUAUCCUCUACAGGCGUUGGAGAUUUGAGGAGAUCUGUUCCUAGUACGAGAGGACCGGAAUGGACGAACCUCUGGUACAUCGGUUAUCGCGCCAGCGGUACAGCCGAGUAGCUAUGUUCGGAAGGAAUAACCGCUGAAAGCAUCUAAGCGGGAAAUCUACUCCAAGAUGAGAUCUCCCCGGGACUUUAAGUCCCCUGAAGACUCCUCGAAGACUACGAGGUCGAUAGGAUGGCGGUGUAAGUGCGGUAACGUAUUCAGCCUACCAUUACUAAUCAGUCGUGAGGCUUGAUC